Molecule: transfer RNA, 134 nt
Filed under: Aureobasidium melanogenum CBS 110374
Lineage: Eukaryota; Fungi; Ascomycota; Dothideomycetes; Dothideales; Saccotheciaceae
Rfam family: tRNA
About the family: Transfer RNA (tRNA) molecules are approximately 80 nucleotides in length. Their secondary structure includes four short double-helical elements and three loops (D, anti-codon, and T loops).
Source: Rfam by way of RNAcentral
GGCUUGUUAGUCUAGUGGUUAUGAUUUUCCCUUUACAUUCUAUGGUACUUCGUUGAGUUCUAGAAGCUCUAGAGGCUCUCGAGUAUGUGGUGUAACUUCGGGAAAGGUCGUGGGUUCGAACCCCACACGAGUCA